Molecule: long non-coding RNA, 1689 nt
Organism: Chroicocephalus ridibundus (black-headed gull)
Lineage: Eukaryota; Metazoa; Chordata; Aves; Charadriiformes; Laridae
Exons: 4
Source: RefSeq, a predicted model, not a curated record
GGAAAAGCAGGCGGGGCAUGCCUAUGUGCCACACUUGCAGUUACCCCCCUCUGAGGGCAGAUGGAUCUGUGGGAUUGAGAGCAUUCAAGGAGAAGGAGACACUGCUGUUUGCGUGGCCUAGCUCUGCAUACUCAAAGACGUCAUGGCUAAAUCCAUGUGGCAUGACUGCCAGCCUCAGUCCUAAAUUAAUGGCAGCAAAGUCAUUCUCAGCUCAGCAGGUGGUCCUUAAACAUGAACUUUAAAGCUGCAUGGGUGGGUGUAACCUGCUCCAGAAAAGGCCAUUCACUUCAAAAAAGACAGACUUUGGCUCAUUUCCUUCCAAACACUAUGUCCCGUUGCACAAGAGUGCACAAGCAAUUCCUUUGACAAAUCUGACUUGACUACAUUGUCAUCUUUGAAGAAAAGAACCAGAAAAAAAAAAUCCAAAGAAGAGAACUGCACUUGUAAGGUACACCAAAGAUGCUGGGGCAAACAUGAAUGUUGUGUGAGGGGUGCUGAAUUAUACAUAUGAUUUUUGGUCGAUUCUGUCAGAACAGACUUCCCUUCACUUAGUAGGUAUGAUGGGUUGGAUUGCCACAUUUUUGCAGUCAAGCAAAACAGCAUCAAACUGUUCUCUGGGAAGAGAAACUUUCAAUGCAGGUGCUUACUCUCUCAGCCUUGACUGAUUGCAUUGAGUCCAAUGACUAAGAAGGUCAAAACCAAUUCACUCAGAAAUGAAGGUACCCAGACCUUUCUUUCAGUUCUGCUGCUGCACUUCAGGACUAUGGAAUAAAGCCUGAGAACUCAUUUUCACCAUCUUCUCUUCCCGAGCUUUGGAAUCCUCAUUGUUUCUCCGCAUGCCGGCUGGUCGCUCUGAGGUGGGUACAGAGGGCAGUAUCUGCCUGAUGGCUGCUUGCAGGGACUUUUCUUUUGCUGUCCCUCUUGCUUUGAUCAGAAUUUCCCUGCUGGGACAUGGAAACCCUUCUGUAACACUGCCAAGGCAAGCUGCCUGUAGAUGAAGACCUUACUGCUAUCUAAUUUCCCAGCCGAGAAUUUGCCCACCUGGCAUAUGCAGCAAAGGAGUAGUUACUCAGGCUUUUAGUUACCAGCACAACACCGAGCUUCACAGUGGUUAAAGCCAUUUUCCUUGAAAAACAUGAAGUUUAACAAACUGACAAUUGCUAAUCUGAACCGUUUGUGUCAGAAAAUUCCUCCCUGGUCCACUGGGAAAGCCAGGCUGCUGGGAGCUGUGUGUGGUGCUCAGCCUUGGGGAGGGGGAAGGAAUGUGGCCCUGGCCCCAGGAACCACCAUGUUUGCACAGCUGUGCUCCCCUGGCCAGGGGUGCAGGGAGGAUGGGAGGAAGGCACCUCCACGCCCUGAGCUACGUGUGGUCUUGAGGUGCUGUAUGUCAGGGGAUCACUUUCAACCCAGCUGCACUGGGGUCAUGGCAACGUUUUCUGCUGUGGAUAAAAAGACGGAAAGUCCUUUGCUGGCGUUUCUAGGAGGCCAGGAGGACACAGGGCGGAGACGGGUCCCCUUGCCUCGCUGGCCUCUCACUGGUGGGGAGGUGCCACAAGAUGGCGCCCUGCCACCUUGCGCCCCCAUGACAGCUACCCCGGCGGGAAGCCAUGGCGACUGCAGGUACCAGGCCAGGCUAGGCCCUCACCCUGCAGCCCCACAGCACCCAGGCGGUUUGUCUAGUUGUUGGCC